RNAcentral lists this long non-coding RNA (600 nucleotides) under Cricetulus griseus (Chinese hamster). RNAcentral's name for it is "lncRNA (ENSCGRG00000025523.1)". Lineage: Eukaryota; Metazoa; Chordata; Mammalia; Rodentia; Cricetidae. The record is from RNAcentral.
UACAAUAAAUAUAUUCCUUUCUAGUUUUAGAGGUCAGAAGUCACGAAUAGGUUGCACUGGACUAAAAUGAAGGUGUUGGUCAGGCUACCCUCAUACUGCAGGAUCAUGGGAAAAUGAAUCUCCUUCAUUUUCCAGUUUGGCUCAUAGCCACCUUCCAUCUUCAAAGCCAGCAAAGGCAGAUGACAGAGUCAUGUCUCAGUAUCAAAAGAUGGGACACAGAACUGGGAAGAGAUGCCUUUUCUGCAAAAGCAUGAAGACCUGAGCUUGUCUCCUCAGCACCAUGUCAAAAAGUGAGGACUACACACUCGUCAAGACCUAAGAGGAGAGAUGCUUGAAAAUGACCCCCCCCAACCCAGCUAAUGACUCAUCUCCUUAUUGUGAAGGAAGGAAAGACGUGCUUGGAGGAAGGAAAGACGUGUUGGCUGACAGCUGACUUCUCCUCCUAACCUGGUCUUGCUACAGAGCAGAUGGCUCACAUCCGUUGCUGCUUCUAGAAAGGGCUUGCCUGUGGCCUUGACCUCAGAGACCACUGAAGCUCAUCAGUGACACUCCCCACACCCCUUGCUGGGACUCGGCCACAGUCUGCUUCUCUUGUUCUCC